UACGGUGGGUGCGAGCGUUGUCCGGAAUCAUUGGGCGUAAAGGGCGCGUAGGUGUCCCCUCAAGCGUGCGGUGAAAGUCAGGGGCUCAACCCCUGAUCGGCCGUGCGAACUGGGGAGCUUGAGCACUGUAGAGGCAGGCGGAAUUCCGGGUGUAGCGGUGGAAUGCGUAGAGAUCCGGAAGAACACCAGUGGCGAAGGCGGCCCGCUGGGCAGUGGCUGACGCUGAGGCGCGACAGCGUGGGGAGCAAACAGG
This 253-nucleotide ribosomal RNA is filed under the name uncultured bacterium. RNAcentral describes it as "partial 16S ribosomal RNA". It matches the Rfam family "Bacterial small subunit ribosomal RNA", at positions 524 to 776 of the family's 1533-position model. The record is from RNAcentral.